GCCCCGCCAGGCGGGAUUGCCCGCUGACUCUUAAUCAGCGGGUUGAAGGUUCGAGUCCUUCGGGGGGCA
RNAcentral lists this transfer RNA (69 nucleotides) under Phycisphaerales bacterium. RNAcentral's name for it is "tRNA-Lys". It matches the Rfam family "tRNA". From Rfam's summary of the family: Transfer RNA (tRNA) molecules are approximately 80 nucleotides in length. Their secondary structure includes four short double-helical elements and three loops (D, anti-codon, and T loops). The record is from RNAcentral. Lineage: Bacteria; Pseudomonadati; Planctomycetota; Phycisphaerae; Phycisphaerales.